This 254-nucleotide ribosomal RNA is filed under the name uncultured bacterium. Its description in RNAcentral is "partial 16S ribosomal RNA". It matches the Rfam family "Bacterial small subunit ribosomal RNA", at positions 524 to 776 of the family's 1533-position model. The record is from RNAcentral.
UACGUAGGGUCCAAGCGUUGUCCGGAUUUAUUGGGCGUAAAGAGCUCGUAGGCGGUUCCGUAAGUCGGAUGUGAAAACUCAGGGCUCAACCCGGAGACGCCAUCUGAUACUGCGGUGACUGGAGGCUGGUAGGGGAACACGGAAUUCCUGGUGUAGCGGUGAAAUGCGCAGAUAUCAGGAGGAACACCGGUGGCGAAGGCGGGUCUCUGGGCCGGUACUGACGCUGAGGAGCGAAAGCGUGGGGAGCGAACAGG